UCGUAACAAGGUCUCCGUUGGUGAACCAGCGGAGGGAUCAUUACCGAGUUUACAACUCCCAAACCCCUGUGAACAUACCAAUUGUUGCCUCGGCGGAUCAGCCCGCUCCCGGUAAAACGGGACGGCCCGCCAGAGGACCCCUAAACUCUGUUUCUAUAUGUAACUUCUGAGUAAAACCAUAAAUAAAUCAAAACUUUCAACAACGGAUCUCUUGGUUCUGGCAUCGAUGAAGAACGCAGCAAAAUGCGAUAAGUAAUGUGAAUUGCAGAAUUCAGUGAAUCAUCGAAUCUUUGAACGCACAUUGCGCCCGCCAGUAUUCUGGCGGGCAUGCCUGUUCGAGCGUCAUUUCAACCCUCAAGCCCUCGGGUUUGGUGUUGGGGAUCGGCGAGCCCUUGCGGCAAGCCGGCCCCGAAAUCUAGUGGCGGUCUCGCUGCAGCUUCCAUUGCGUAGUAGUAAAACCCUCGCAACUGGUACGCGGCGCGGCCAAGCCGUUAAACCCCCAACUUCUGAAUGUUGACCUCGGAUCAGGUAGGAAUACCCGCUGAACCUAAGCAUAUCA
RNAcentral lists this unclassified non-coding RNA (559 nucleotides) under Fusarium proliferatum. RNAcentral describes it as "sequence contains 18S rRNA gene, ITS1, 5.8S rRNA gene, ITS2, 28S rRNA gene". The stretch from base 192 to 345 matches the Rfam family "5.8S ribosomal RNA". Lineage: Eukaryota; Fungi; Ascomycota; Sordariomycetes; Hypocreales; Nectriaceae. The record is from RNAcentral.